Molecule: long non-coding RNA, 4244 nt
Organism: Capra hircus (goat)
Lineage: Eukaryota; Metazoa; Chordata; Mammalia; Artiodactyla; Bovidae
Source: Ensembl
GGCUUGUUUUUUUAAACAGGAAUAUUCGUCCUUUACUAGACACACUUAAUGUUUACACACCAAUGUCAAAUAUACCCAGAGGUUGAUGUCCGUGUCCCAUCCAUUCCUCCCAUCCCUCCUCCCAUCCCGGGCUUCUCUUCCUGUCUUGUGCUGGGACAGCAUCUUUUUUUUUUUCUUUUUUAGCACCUUUAUUGACGAAUAAUUUCCGGCUUAUUUAAAGUUUAUGCUCUUGCUCGAAAGUCAGCGGGUCCUUAUUGAAUGUCUCCGUCCCGCCCUCAGCCCCUCACUUCCAGGUGUGCACCUUCCCAUGCCGAAAUGAUUACAUACAGACAUCAGAACAGGGGACAGUUUCUCUUCGUUGUACCAAAAUGGGUCUUUUAUUACACGGGGUUCUGCCUCUUGCUUUUCUCAUCUAACAGUAUCUUGGGGGACUCUCCAAGUUAUCGGCUUCUUCAUCUCUUUCUUGCUCGUUUCUCAGAGGUUUGGACUUACAUCUGUAAAGGGUCACGGGAACCGAAUUUCGGUGAGGAAUUCAAGACGUGACUUUCUGACUCAGAAAAGCCGAGGUGCCCGGCUUUGGAAGGGUCAGGGCUCCCAAAUUCGCUCCCCACUCUAGGACCUUUCCUGUUCGUAAAAUCGGGGCCGUUUAGGCCGUCCGGUGCCCUCUUGGGAGGCGGUGACACCAGGGUGACCCCCUCGGCCCCCACCCCACGUGCGUCUAGGUGACUCCCGGGCGGGUAGCCUUCUUCCCGGCGCACAUCGCCGGGGCCGCGCGCGAACCCCACCGGCGGCGUUAAUCAUUAGCAGCGCGCGAGCCCCGCCGCCGCCGUCGCAGCUUUUUACCCCGGGUUCCAGCUCGCAGUGCCGCGAGGUUUUCCCCGGCCCCCGCCAAGCCGCCAAUCGCGGGAUUCCAGCCGCCGGCCCGAGUCUCCACCCACUGGAAAAAUUCCUGGUCCGCCCUCCCAGUCUCCCUGCCCCCUCCCGAGGCUGCUCCAGCUCGGCUCGGCCCCGACUUCCUGCUGGGCACUGGGAAGGCGCGCGCGGGCUGGGGUCCCCGGGGGCCGCGCUCGCAGCUGGCCGCGCCCCGGCAGCCAAGGGGUUGGCGGUGGGCGGGAGCGGCCGGCAGUCUCGGCCCCUUCCCGGAGCGACUUUCAAACUUGCGCCUGCGUUGCGGCGGCACCUGGGUGGCUUCGCGCGCCUUGCGUUCCGGACCCGGUGGAGCAGCCGGUGCUCGCUUGUGGGAUCCUAGUUCUCUGCUGCUGCUGCUGCUAAGUCUGCCUGACUCUGUGCGACCCCAUAGACGGCAGCCCACCAGGCUCCCCCGUCCCUGGGAUUCUCCAGGCAAGAAUACUGGAGUGGGCUGCCAUUUCCUUCUCCAAUGAAUGAAAGUGAAAAGUGAAAGUGAAAUCGCUCAGUAUCAAAUACGGGCCCUCGGCAGUGAGAGUGCAGAGUCCUAACCACUGGACCACCAGGGAAUUCCCUCUGCUGUCUAAUCGUGUGUGCUUAGUGGCCUCAGUCAUGUCCACCUCUUUUGAGACACUAUGGACUAUAGCCCACCAGGAUCUUCUGUCCAUGGGAUUUUCCAGGCAAGAAUUCUGCAGUGGGUUGCCAAGCCCUUCUCCAGGGGAUCUUCCUGACCCAGGGAUCAAACUCAAGUCUCUUAAGUUUCUUGCAGUGGCAGGCAGGUUCUUUAACUGGUGCCAACUGGAAAGCCUGCUAUCUAAGCCAUUUUUAUUAUCACAGUGUAUUAAGAGAAACUGUACUUUUUGCAGUCAUUUCCCCUAUCCACUAGCCCCAGGCAAUCACUAGUCUACGUUUAUCUUUCUAGAUUUACCUGUUCUGGACCUUUCACAUAAAUGAGUUCAUACAAUGUAUCGUUCUGUUGACUAGCCUUUUCAUUUAACAUAGUGUUUUCAUCCAUGUUGUGGCAGGUUAUCAGUUCUCCAUUUUUCAUUCCAUUAUAUGGGUUUACUACAUUUUGUUUAUCCAUUCUUCAGUUAUAGACAUUUGAGCUGUUUCCACUUUUUUUUGUAUUAUAAAUAAUAUUGCUAUAAACAAUUGUGUACAACUUUUUGUACGCAGCAUAUAGAUCUCCUAGCUUCUAUAUGACCUACUGGGAGAUGAUUAUUUAUAAAUUAACUUUUUGAGGAAUUGUUAAAUUGUUUUCUAAAUAGGCUACACUAUUUCUUACCAGCAAUAUAUGAGUUCUAAUUUCUCUUUAUCCUCUCCAACACUUGUUAUUGAACAUGGUUUUGAUUUUAGCCAUCUUAGAGUGAGUAUGAAAUGGAUUUAAUUGUGAUUUUGAUUUGCAUUUUCCUAAUGACUAACGAUGUUGAACAUUUUUUCCUGUGCUUAUUGGCCAUUUGUAUAUAUUUUUGGAGAAGUAUCUAUUCAAAUUGUUGUUAUGUUAAAAUUGGGUUAUUUUAUUGUUGUUGUAAGGGUUCUUUAUAUAGUCUGGAUACAAGUCUAUUAUCAGGUUUACAAAUAUUUUCUCCCAUUCUGUGAUUUAUCUUUUCACUGUCUCUCUUUUGAAAAUUUUUCAAAAAUGAUGUGUAAUUGAUAUAUUAUUAUUAGUUUCAGAUAUACAACUUAAUGAUUCAAUAUUUGUAUACAUUGUAACAUGAUCUAGUCUACUUUCUUUUCAUUUUCUUUAUAGUGCCUUCGAAACAUAAGUUUUAAAUCUUGGUGAAGUUGAAUUUAUCUAUUUUUUUUGUUUUGUUGCCUGUGCUUUUCCUAUUGUAUCUAAGAAACCACUGCUUGCCCAAGUUCACAAAAACUUACCUCUAAAUUUCCUUUUAGGAGUUUUAUAGUUUUAGCUUUUGCAUUUAGGUCUGUGAUCCAUUUUGACUUAAUUUUUGUGCAUGAUAUGAACUAGAUAUGCAGAUUCAUUCUUAUGCAUGUGAAUAUAGCUGUGAAUAUAACAUUGUUGAAAAGACUAUUCUUCCCCUAUUGAAUGGUUUUGAUACCCUUAUGAAAAUCAGGUGACUAUAAAUGUGGAGUUUUAUUUCUGUACUCUCAGUUCUGUUGCAUUAAUCUAUAUGUCUAUCUAUAUGUCAAUAUAGUCUUGAUAACUAUAGCUUUGUAAUCAGUUUUGAAGUUGGGAACUGUGAGUCUUCCAACUUUGUUCUUUUUCAAGAUUGUUUUAGCUAUUCUGGCUCCCUUGCUUUUCCAUACGAAUUUUAUGAUCGUCUUGUCAAUUUCUACAGAAAUGCCAGCUAGAAUUUUGAAAUAGAUCACAUUGAGUCUGUAAAUUAAUUUACUGAGUAUCGCUAACUUGAAGAGUGUUAAGUGUUCUGAUCCAUGAACAUGGGAUAUCCUUCCAUUUAUUCAGGUCUUUAGUUUCUUUCAAGUGUUUUGUAGCUUCCCAUAUAUAAUUCUUACAUUCCUUUUGUUAAAUAUAUUCCACAGUUUUCAAUGCUUUGUUACAAAUGGGAUUGUUUUGUUUCUUGAGGGGAGAAGGUAAGCCACUCAAUUUGCAGGAUCCUAGUUCUCCCAUCAGGGGUUAAACCCAUUCCCUUGGCAGUGAAAGUGUAGAGUACCAGUCACUGGACCACUAGGGCAUUUCACUUCAUUGCAUUUUGGAUUGUGUGCUACUAAUAUAUAGGAAUACAAUUGAUUUUUGUGUAUUGCUCUUGUAUCCUUCCAUCUUACUAGAUUCUUUUCGUUACUGGAGUCCACUAAUUGUUUCAUUAGUGAAUUUCUUAAGAUUUUCUAUAUACACAAGAUCAUGUCGUCAAUGGAUUUAAUUCAGUUCAGUUGCUCAGUCCUCUCCGACUCUUGUGACCCCAUGGACUGCAGCACACCAGGCCUCCCUGUCCAUCACCAACUCCUGGAGCUUACUCAAACUCAUGUCCAUAGAGUCGGUGAUGCCAUCCAACCAUCUCAUCCUCUGUCGUCCCCUUCUCCUCCUGCCCUCAAUCUUUCCCAGCAUCACGGUCUUUUCAAAUGAGUCAGUUCUUCACAUCAGGUGGCCAAAAUAUUGGAGCUUUAGCUUCAGCAUCGUCCUUCCAAGGAACAUUCAGUGUUGAUUUCCUUUGGGAUUGACUGGUUUGAUCUCCUUGCAGUCCAAGGGACUCUCAAGAGUUUUCUCCAACACCACAGUUCAAAAGCAUCAAUUCUUCAGCACUCAGCUUUCUUUAUAGUCCAACUCUCACCUCCAUACAUGAUUACUGGAAAAACCAUAGCUUUGACUAGACGGGUCUUUGCUGGCAAAGUAAUGUCUCUGCUUUUUAACAUGCUGUCUA